AAUAAUUUAAAACAUUUUAAUGGCUUAUUAAAUAAUAGAUACAUAUCCAUACAAGAGUAAAGAAAUUAAAAUGCACAAAUAUAUAAAUAUAAAUAACUUAAUCUCAUUUAUAUAAUUCAUUUAGUGACUUAACAUCCAUAAUUCAUUAAGUAGUGACAACAUCCAUAAUCUUGAAGUUCCAAACGGAAAAAAAAUCAAUGUAGAUCAAACAUUGAAAAACUAAAACAUAAACAUUAGUAUAGUGGUUAAACAUACAAAACAUUAUGGCAAA
RNAcentral lists this long non-coding RNA (271 nucleotides) under Trifolium pratense (red clover). Its description in RNAcentral is "long non-coding RNA (TPRA_LNC004647)". Lineage: Eukaryota; Viridiplantae; Streptophyta; Magnoliopsida; Fabales; Fabaceae. The record is from RNAcentral.